UUAUCACCAACGUCUUAAAAUCACCUAAAAACUCUGCCCAUUAAACCAGAGACUACCAUCGCGGGCCUCAACAACUCCUGCCGGUCCAACACCAUCCAUCAUCACAACUCCACUUCGCCCAUAAAAAACCACCCCUGCCGAGACCCCCUCUUAACCGAAUCAACCCAACAAUUUAAAGACCAAAACCUAUACUCACCACCAUCGUAUACAACCCAAACAGCCAUCAACCAUCGAGACCGUGAGUAUCAUUCACAGCCGAAACAAAACGUUAACAAAUACUACCUCCAACACCCAAGCCUGUCUCUGUCAACAGCCCAUCCAGACCUGUCAAAAAAAAUACACAAAAAUUACAUCCCAAAAGGAGAACCACAAAACAACAGCCGAACAAAAGAAAAUAAGAUUAAAAUUGAGAUUCAGAUUUAGGUGUUUGGGAUGGUUUUUAAGCUAGAUCUUUGGAGAGUAGGAGGGUUUUAAGGAGAAAAACAGUAUAGCAAAAGGUGAGGACCAUCGAAGAAGCAGGAACCAACGAAAAAAAUUUUGGCUGAAUUUUUUAGUUCAGAUCUAGGCUUCUAGGCGUUGUUUUUGAAAAAAUUAAGGUCGAAACGUGAAGGAAGAGCCCGAAAGAAAUCGGUAGUUGAAAUUUGGGCUUAAACCGAUACUAGCGAUUGGCUGUUGGCCAAGGAGACAAUGGCCCAUGAGGUAUCGAGCCACCUGUUUUUAGGUUUGGGAAUAACCGAUGUUCUUAGGGGUGAAGGAUGUUUGAAUUUUUUUUUCCAGAGAAAAUGUUUUAAAUGAAUUGAAAAAAAAU
RNAcentral lists this long non-coding RNA (808 nucleotides) under Durio zibethinus. Its description in RNAcentral is "long non-coding RNA (DZIB_LNC002000)". The record is from RNAcentral. Lineage: Eukaryota; Viridiplantae; Streptophyta; Magnoliopsida; Malvales; Malvaceae.